GACGAACGCUGGCGGCGCGCUUAACACAUGCAAGUCGAACGGAAAGGCCUGCUUUCCCUUGUGGAUUGCGGGUACUCGAGUGGCGAACGGGUGAGUAACACGUGAGUGAUCUGCCCCCAACUUGGGUAUAAGCCUGGGAAACUGGGUCUAAUUCCCGAUAGGACUGCAGGGUGGUGCCUGUGGUGGAAAACGAUUUUCUAGUGGUUGGGGAUGAGCUCGCGGCCUAUCAGCUUGUUGGUGGGGUAAUGGCCUACCAAGGCGGCGACGGGUAGCCGGCCUGGGAGGGGGGACGGCCACAUUGGGACUGGGAUACGGCCCAGACUCCUACGGGAGGCAGCAGUGGGGAAUAUUGCACAAUGGGCGGAAGCCUGAUGCAGCGACGCCGCGUGGGGGAUGACGGCCUUCGGGUUGUAAACUCCUUUCGACCGCGAGGAAGCCACCUGGUUGGAAGGGUGGUGACGGUAGUGGUAGAAGAAGCACCGGCUAACUACGUG
RNAcentral lists this ribosomal RNA (494 nucleotides) under uncultured bacterium. RNAcentral describes it as "partial 16S ribosomal RNA". It matches the Rfam family "Bacterial small subunit ribosomal RNA", at positions 28 to 507 of the family's 1533-position model. The record is from RNAcentral.